GUACAGAGGGGAAGUCGACCAAUCACAGAAGAUUCUGCCCUGCACCAUGCUGGUUUACUGGAAAAAGAAAUUGCCAUGGGGAUUGUACUUCUGGUUACCACAGUUUUGUGUCCUCUGCAAAGUGUGAAUACGCAUCAUAUUAUGUUUGGGGGGGAAAAAAAGAUGAUCCUUGUACUGUGUUUUGUCCUGUUUGAGAUUUAUGAUGGAUCACUUCCACUAUUGAAUAAACUACCUUGGGCAUUAGAUUGCCUGGAAAACCAAAUCUCCAGAAUUUACAUAUAAAUUGGGAUGUGAGAAUAAAACAUGGGUGUACAAAAGAAGCUUUUAGCACAGUGAGGGGAUUUGGAAGUUAUAAUCUCGAACAAGGUUGCUAAAAUGUUUCCCAGCUUAAAUGGUUGUCCUGCAGAUGCUUAUUGUUUUGGAUGCCAUUGUGCUGAGGGACAUAAACUUCGGAUGGUGGUGUUUAUCUGUGGCAUGUGGGCCAGAUUUCUUGAAGCGGAACCUGGUCAUGCUUAAUUCAAAACUACACAGUCAUUCAAGUCAAUUAGAAAUUCCACCCACCGGUUUUUAAAUUUGCUAUCUUUCUCAACCCCCUGCCCCUUUAAAAUUCAAAACUCUCAAUUUUCUUCUGUCUGAAUUAUAUGUCUUUUCACACAGCCAGUGCAUACAGAACUGAAAUUUACAGUUCUUACUGGACCACUGAUAUACUGCACAAGUGAACAAUCGGUACGAUCAGCACACAUGAAGCAACACACAUGAAGGGGGAAACUAUUACUGUCAGGGUUAUAACACAA
This is a long non-coding RNA of Anguilla rostrata (American eel), 794 nucleotides long. RefSeq lists it as uncharacterized. Lineage: Eukaryota; Metazoa; Chordata; Actinopteri; Anguilliformes; Anguillidae. The transcript has 2 exons. The record is from RefSeq and is a predicted model, not a curated record.